This is a long non-coding RNA of Dermochelys coriacea (leatherback sea turtle), 157 nucleotides long. RefSeq lists it as uncharacterized. Lineage: Eukaryota; Metazoa; Chordata; Testudines; Dermochelyidae. The transcript has 3 exons. The record is from RefSeq and is a predicted model, not a curated record.
AUCAUAUAAAAUGAACAAUGUACACUAUGUAUUCUGUCUUAUAAUUAAAAUCAAUAUAUUUGAAAAUGUAGAAAACAUCCAAAAUUAUUUAAAUAAAUGGUAUUCUAUUAUUGUUUAACAGCGCAAUUAAAACUGUGAUUAAUCACUACUAUUUUUU